UUGGAGGGCAAGUCUGGUGCCAGCAGCCGCGGUAAUUCCAGCUCCAAUAGCGUAUAUUAAAGUUGUUGCAGUUAAAAAGCUCGUAGUUGAACUUCGGGGUCUACCCAUUGGUCAGGCUUAAUUGUCUGUACUGGUGAGAUGGAUCUCUACCUUCUGAGGAACUUUCAUGCCAUUUAUUUGGUGUGAUGGGAAAUCAGGACUGUUACUUUGAAAAAAUUAGAGUGUUUAAAGCAGACUAUCGUCUGAAUACAUUAGCAUGGAAUAAUGAAAUAGGACGGACUGAUUCUAUUUCGUUGGUUUCUAGGAUCACCGUAAUGAUUAAUAGGGAUAGUUGGGGGCAUUAGUAUUCAAUUGUCAGAGGUGAAAUUCUUGGAUUUAUUGAAGACUAACUACUGCGAAAGCAUUUGCCAAGGAUGUUUUCAUUAAUCAAGAACGAAAGUUAGGGGAUCGAAGACGAUCAGAUACCGUCGUAGUCUUAACCAUAAACUAUGCCGACUAGGGAUCGGACGAAGUUAAUUUUAUAAUGACGCGUUCGGCACCUUACGGGAAAC
RNAcentral lists this ribosomal RNA (551 nucleotides) under uncultured Glomeromycotina. Its description in RNAcentral is "SSU rRNA". It matches the Rfam family "Eukaryotic small subunit ribosomal RNA", at positions 548 to 1098 of the family's 1831-position model. The record is from RNAcentral. Lineage: Eukaryota; Fungi; Glomeromycota.